Molecule: ribosomal RNA, 460 nt
Filed under: NC10 bacterium enrichment culture clone MSGLR 2-10
Lineage: Bacteria; Methylomirabilota (SeqCode)
Description: bacterial SSU rRNA
Rfam family: Bacterial small subunit ribosomal RNA
Source: RNAcentral
GGGCUUGACAUCCCACGAACCUGCCCGAAAAGGUGGGGUGCCCGCAAGGGAGCGUGGAGACAGGUGGUGCAUGGCUGUCGUCAGCUCGUGUCGUGAGAUGUUGGGUUAAGUCCCGCAACGAGCGCAACCCUCACCCCUAGUUGCCACCGGGUUAAGCCGAGCACUCAAGGGGAACUGCCAGCGUCAAGCUGGAGGAAGGCGGGGAUGACGUCAAGUCAUCAUGCCCCUUACGCCCUGGGCUACACACGUGCUACAAUGGCCAGUACAAAGGGACGCGAGACUGCGAAGUGGAGCUAAUCCCAAAAAGCUGGUCUAAGUUCAGAUUGCAGUCUGCAACUCGACUGCAUGAAGGAGGAAUCGCUAGUAAUCGCGCAUCAGCCCGGCGCGGUGAAUACGUUCCCGGGCCUUGUACGCACCGCCCGUCACACCACGAAAGCUGUCUGUACUCGAAGUCGCUGAG